CAGGAUGAGAUCUCCUAGCAGAAAUGUGAGAGACCCCUUAGAGACGAUGAGGUAGAUAGGGCAGGGGUGGAAGUGCAGCGAUGCAUGGAGCUGACUGCUACUAAUCGGUCGAAAGCUUGACCUA
RNAcentral lists this non-coding RNA (124 nucleotides) under Eubacteriaceae bacterium CHKCI004. RNAcentral's name for it is "Bacterial large subunit ribosomal RNA". It matches the Rfam family "Bacterial large subunit ribosomal RNA", at positions 2800 to 2925 of the family's 2925-position model. Lineage: Bacteria; Bacillati; Bacillota; Clostridia; Eubacteriales; Eubacteriaceae. The record is from Rfam by way of RNAcentral.